CUCCGCUUGGUGUAGUUGGCUAUCACGUCGGGCUGUAAUAGAACCAUUAAACCUGAAGGUCGCCUGUUCGAUUCAGGCAGCGGAGA
Molecule: non-coding RNA, 86 nt
Organism: Tothia fuscella
Lineage: Eukaryota; Fungi; Ascomycota; Dothideomycetes; Venturiales; Cylindrosympodiaceae
Source: the annotation of a GenBank genome assembly